Molecule: long non-coding RNA, 2599 nt
Organism: Serinus canaria (Common canary)
Lineage: Eukaryota; Metazoa; Chordata; Aves; Passeriformes; Fringillidae
Source: Ensembl
GGAAGGUGGCGGUGGCCGUGUCCUGCCGGGAGCCCUACCUGUGUGCCCAGUGCCACACGGACUUCACGUGCCGCUGGCGGGAGGAGAAGAACGGCACCAUCAUGUGCGAGACCUGCAUGGCCUCCAACCAGAAGAAGGCCCUGAAGGCCGAGCACACGAACCGGCUCAAGGCCGCCUUCGUCAAGGCCCUGCAGCAGGAGCAGGAGAUCGAGCAGAGGAUCCUGCAGCAAACGGCCCCGCCCGGGCAGCCCAAGGCCGAGCCCGUGGGGCAGCACCACGCGCUCAAGCAGGUGAGGGAGAGGCCCAGGGCCGCCAUUUCCUGAGGGAAAAGGGUCCCUCAGGAAAAGGGUUGGGGUGGGGCCUGCGGGGUUUGGGCCGUGGGUUGGGUUUAGGGUGGGAGGGUUGGGUGUUGUAUCAGGCUCUAGAGAUUGUCCUGGCCCAGAGAGCAUCCAGUCAUGGAGAUUGUCCAGUCCCAAAAAUCAUCCAAUCCCAAAGGUCAUCUAAUCCCAGAGAGCAUCCAGUCCCAGAGAGCAUCCAAUCCCAAAAAUCAUCCAGUCCCUAAAAUCAUCCAGUCUCCAAAAUCAUCNNNNNNNNNNNNNNNNNNNNGAGGUGGUGGAAGGGUUGGAGGAGGUGAGGAAGGGUUGGAGGAGAUGGUGGAAGGGUUGGAGGAGGUGGUGGAAGGGUUGGAGGAGGUGGUGGAAGGGUUGGAGGAGGUGGUGGAAGGGUUGGAGGAGGUGCUGGUGGGGUUUGGGGGGAAAUUGAAAUUUUGGGGUGGGUUUGAAGGUAUUUAAAGAGUUUGUAGGAUUUCAGGCUAAAUUUUAGCAGGGUUUUAGAUGAAAUUUUCAGGGUUUUGGACGAUUCGCAGGAUUUGGGCCAAAAACUUCAGUAAUUCUGCCCAGUUUUUUGUGAUUUCAGUCAGGAUUUUCAGGAUUUUGGCCCAAAAUGUUGGGUUCUUCUGGGUGCAGGAUUUUGGCCAAUUCUCAGGAUUUCAGCCAAAAAUUUCAAUAUUUCCUCCCAUUUUUUUGUGAUUUCAGUCAGGAUUUUCAGUCUUUCAGCCCAAAACAUUGUGUCCUGCUGGGUGCAGGAUUUUUGGCCAGUCCUGGCUGGGUGCAGGAUUUUGGUCGAUUCUCAGGAUUUUUGGCCGAUUUGCAGGAUUUUUGGCCAAUUCUCAGGAUUUUGGCUGAUUCUCAGGAUUUUUGGCCGAAUCUCAGGAUUUUUGGCCGAUUCUCAGAAUUUUGGCCGAUUCUCAGGAUUUUUGGCCGAUUCUCAGGAUUUUUGGCCAAUUCUCAGGAUUUUGGCCAAUUCUCAGGAUUUUUGGCCGAUUCUCAGGGUUUUCACCCAAUUCUCAGGAUUUUGGCCGAUUCUCAGGAUUUUCACCCGAUUCUCAGGAUUUUUGGCCGAUUCUCAGGAUUUUCACCCAAUUCUCAGAAUUUUUGGCCGAUUCUCAGGAUUUUGGCCGAUUCUCAGGAUUUUUGGCCAAUUCACAGGAUUUCACCCGAUUCUCAGUAUUCCAGCCAAACUUUCCACCAUUCCCACCCGUUUUUUUUGCGGUUUCAGUCGGGAUUCUCAGCCUCCCAGCUGUGUCCUGCUGGGUGCUGAGGCAGGGGGUGCCUUGCAGGGAAGAGCGCCCCGGCGGUGCCGCGCGUGGAGCCCUUCGUGUGCGCGCAGUGCCGCACGGACUUCACGCCGCACUGGAAGCAGGAGAAGGGCGGGCGGAUCCUGUGCGAGCAGUGCCAGACCUCCAACCAGAAGAAGGCGCUCAAGGCCGAGCACACGAAUCGCCUCAAGAACGCCUUCGUCAAGGCCCUGCAGCAGGAGCAGGUGGGAAUCGUGGGAGCGCCCCUUCCCGGGGCUCCUCCCACCCCAAAACACCCCAAAACACCCCAAAACAGCCUGUCCCAUCCCGUGCCGUUAUCCCCAUCCCAAUGAUCCCAUUGAUCCCACCCCAUUGAUCCCAUCCCAUUCCAUUAUCCCCAUCCCAAUGAUCCCAUUGAUCCCAUCCCAUUGUUCCCAUUGAUCCCGCCCCAUUGAUCCCAUCCCAUUCCAUUAUCCCCAUCCCACUGAUCCAGUUGAUCCCAUCCCAUUGAUCCAGUUGAUCCCAUCCCAUUGAUCCCACCCCACUGAUCCCAUCCCAUUCCAUUCCGUUAUCCCAAUCCUACUGAUCCCAUUGAUCCCACCCCAUCGAUCCCAUCCCACUGAUCCCAUUGAUCCCGUCCCAUUAAUCCAAGUGAUCCCAUCCCAUUGAUCCCAUUGAUCCCACCCCAUUGAUCCCAUCCCAUUCCAUUAUCCCCAUCCCACUGAUCCCAUUGAUUCUAUCCCAUUCCAUUGAUCCCAUCCCACUGAUCCCAUUGAUUUCAUCCCGUUGAUCCCAUCCCAUUGAUCCCAUGGAUCCCACCCCAUUGAUCCCAUCCCACUGAUCCCGUCCCAGCCAGGGUGGCAUUCCUGAGGAAUUGAGCAGGGUGGCAUUCCCAUGGGCAUUGAAUGGGAUGACAUUCCCACAGGUGGCAGCAUUCCCACAGGUGGCAUUCCCAAGGGAUGGCAUUCCCGGUGCCAUUCCUGGUGCCGUUCCCGGUGCCGUUCCCGGUGCCAUUGCCGUGGC